AUGGUGCUUCCGUGGCUGAGUAGGGUGGGUUUCUUUCGUUUUUCUCACGUUGGUGUUUUCUGGACAACUGUACUGAGCGCGUUGAUGGCAUCGGUGCUCUGCCUGUGCCCGUGGGCAGAGGACAUAGGCUGUGGGUGUGUCCCGCCCACAGGCGCGCGUGACCUAUGCAACGUGAACACAAUGAGGACAAUGACCUUUAUUAUGAUCCAUUUCCGCUUAAUAAAUAUCACAGGCAGCACUGGAUCAGAGCAGGCCACCUCACAUGGGACCUGCUGCAGUACAACUUCCAGCAUGGAGGAGCAGAGCAAGAUGUUGGCUUGCUGUGGGAGACGAGAGACACCCAUGCCUCUGACCUCUAUAUCUGUUACAGAACCCUGGCAACCACAACUCCAUUUUUCAUUUCUAUGAAUUUGACCACUUUGGAUAUCUCAUCAUGACUCCUAAAUGCAAGCAAACUUAAGCCAACUGAACUGAGGACAUGAUCACUGGAGCCGACGAAAGAAGAAAAAUUGCCUGUGUUGGACUUACUGAGAGGUGUUACUAAACUCUGUGAGAUUUUUUUUUUUUUUUUUUUUGGUGAUAAUGACUAGUUUCUUUUUGCCUUGACUUUAAAACUUAUUGAUGACCGGUAAGAUCUUACCUGAAGAUUAGUGAUAUUUUUCCUCGUUAACAUGGAUACUUAGGUAAGCUUUCCCUAAAAUACUCUAUUGAAAAACAGAGAACUUUUAAUAGAGAUCCUAGGAAAAGAAGUGACAGCCUCUGCUUUAGUUUUCAAGUCAUUUCUAGCCAGACCAAGAAAUGGAUAUGCAAGCAUUAGAAGCCCAUUUAAGUUAAAGGAAGAGGGUGUUAACUUUGAGCUUAAAUAUUCAUAUAAAUAACUUGAAAUUUGGGUCUUUCUCCAAAUAUACACAUUAUAUAUGGAUUGUUGGAAAUCUCAGAGUGUUCCUCAGGAAGUUACUCUCCCCUGGACUGGUGCUGGCUGAUAGCGACUCCAAUAUGCAAUAUGCCAAAGUGGUAGUUCCUGGGAAGUUAAAAGGAAGGUAAAAGAAACCCCUCUUAUCCUUUAAUACCAUAUCCUUUUGGGAUCUGUGUGUUUCUUAAAUACUCUGGGUGCUUCUCUGAGUGGGAAAUGGAAAGAUGCAGUAGUCACUUUACAUGUUAUCUACAAUUUUUUGCUUACAGGUAUUUGAGACAUGUCAGUGACAAGGUGAAUAUAUAGGAUAGAGAAAUGUUGUUACUGAGUGAUGAGAGUUGGAUUACGUGAAUGUUACCAUUCAACUUCAGGUGUGUUAACCUAGUGAUUUUAAAUAAAAACACUUUUGGUUCUUAUUAAUCCUUUAUUUACACAAUUAGUACCAGGUUUUAAAGUAAAAUGAACUUUCUUUGUUUUAAUUAUACACAUUAAUAUAAUAGAACACUACUGACAUUUUCUCAUUUAUUUUCAUUUUUAUAUAACAAGUUUUUAAACAGUGUUUACUAUAUUCCAAGUAGGUUCUAAGCACUUGACAGAUACUAAUUCAUUUGAUUUUUAUGACAACUUUAUAGAGUAGCUGCUAUUUUUCUGUCCAUUUUACAGAUGGGGAAAUGGAUAUGGAAAUGUCAAGCAACUUGGCUAGACAGUGGCAAAACUAGGCCUCUUCUCUUCCAUUUAACGUCAGGUUGUCACGUAAAUAUUAUUCAAAACAUGUGCCCUGAUUAAAAAAUAGUUGAGGGAGUACUGUUCUAGAGAGUAAAAAGAAAACAAAACCACCAAAUGCGACCACUGCCAUUAAAAGAAAAAUAACCAAUACCUAUCUAAAGGCACAGCUAAGCUCACUGGAAAGUAACCCCAAUAGCUGAUGUCAUGACUACUAGAGGUGAGAGUGGGUGAUAAAUUAGGUUGUGAAGAUUGAGUUGUGGUAAAAUCUAAGGACUUCAUUUCUGAUGCUCAAAUGAAGAUAGAAGAUUGGGAUUUAAAUCCAUCCUAAGAGGUGCAUCGAGACUCUUAACUUCGUAUAAUGUUAAGAUGCUCAAAAUGCUACAACUUCAGUGAAAGUAGAAAUAGAAAAAAAAAUAGCCAUUUUCUUUUGCUCUGGAUUUCGAUAGAAUAAAAAAGCU
RNAcentral lists this long non-coding RNA (2097 nucleotides) under Callithrix jacchus (white-tufted-ear marmoset). RNAcentral describes it as "lncRNA (ENSCJAG00000077417.1)". Lineage: Eukaryota; Metazoa; Chordata; Mammalia; Primates; Cebidae. The record is from RNAcentral.